Acidianus hospitalis W1 is the source of this 75-nucleotide non-coding RNA. The record is from Rfam. NCBI's taxonomy places the organism in Archaea, Thermoproteati, Thermoproteota, Thermoprotei, Sulfolobales, Sulfolobaceae.
GGGCCCGUAGCUCAGCCAGGACAGAGCCCUGGUCUCCGGAACCAGAGGUCCCGGGUUCAAAUCCCGGCGGGCCCG